CAGGACGAACGCUGGCGGCGUGCCUAACACAUGCAAGUCGAACGGAGAUAAAGCUUCGGUUUAUCUUAGUGGCGGACGGGUGAGUAACGCGUGAGCAACCUGCCUUAAAGAGGGGGAUAACGUUUGGAAACGAACGCUAAUACCGCAUAAAAUGCGAGAGCUGCAUGGCUUUUGUAUCAAAGGAGCAAUCCGCUUUAAGAUGGGCUCGCGUCCGAUUAGCUAGUUGGCGGGGUAAUGGCCCACCAAGGCGACGAUCGGUAGCCGAACUGAGAGGUUGAUCGGCCACAUUGGGACUGAGACACGGCCCAGACUCCUACGGGAGGCAGCAGUGGGGAAUAUUGCACAAAUGGGGGAAACCCUGAUGCAGCAACGCCGCGUGAGGGAAGAAGGUUUUCGGAUUGUAAACCUCUGUCUCCGGUGAAGAUAAUGACGGUAACCGGGGAGGAAGCCACGGCUAACUACGUGCCAGCCGCCGC
Molecule: ribosomal RNA, 476 nt
Filed under: uncultured bacterium
Lineage: Bacteria
Description: bacterial SSU rRNA
Rfam family: Bacterial small subunit ribosomal RNA
Source: RNAcentral